CCUUCUCAUGUAGUAGGGUCAUGUACCAUGGUACCUUCCACCCUGUGUUCUCAGCCAUGGUGGUACUGGUGAAGUUAGACUUGUUCUGAUGUCCCUCUCUAGCUGCUCCGGGGUCAUCGCCAUGUAAAGUCCAAAGACGAAAAAUAACCCUGAAGGAAGGAGAGAUGACUAGAAAGAAUCCGGUUGACCGCUUUAUGUGUGGAUUAAUUGUUGGAGUAGAGGACCUUGUGCAUUUCAGGUAAAAUAACAACUCAAUGUUUAUAUCCCAGGACAAAUAAGCUAGCUAAAUUGCCAUAAAUGUUUAAUGCUUUUCGACCUGUCCCCAAAUUAAUAUAAUUGGUUGAGAGUUUGUUUUGAUAUUUCGUGUCAUGAUCGCGUUUGGAGUGAGGGGACAAAAUCAAUUUGCGCACGAUGGCGGAUGCACUCGCGCGUCUGGUUUGGGCAUGGUGUAAUGGUUGUUUAAAUCUAAAAUUAGCUUGACGCGUUUUCGGUUAUCCUACAGACUCAGCGCAUUGCUACAUGGUACUUGAAGGAGAAUUGGAGGUUAAUAAUUUAUUACACUGUUUAGAUUGAGCACAUUUAAACGAAAGCUAAACUUCGUCAUGACGAUAUAAACGGAUGGAUGUGUUCCAGAUGAGGAAGGCCAUCUAUUGGCUGAUUUGGCGGCCUGGAGUGUAGGUCAUUGUUUUAUGAAAUGUGAUCCCAUAUCUCCAGUGACAAUAAUUAUGUAGCUAUGAAGUGUUCUCACACGAUUUCCUGAUUUUCACAACUUGGAAGUUACAUCAUGGGGAAAUGUUGUAUUUUACCCACUGAUAGAACAUAAACAUUCACCAAAUAAACAGGAGUUAUGUUUUUUAUUUCUGGGGGUGGAUUAUCCCUUUAAACUGUAUAGUGGUUAAUCAGUAGCCUUGCCUCAACCUAGUCAAAAUGCGAACCAAGGCAGGGUAAAAGAUGCAUUAUUUGUGUAUGUAGAAAUAAGUAACAAACAAGGACAUAUUUUAAUCUUGAUGAAUGACUAUUUGUAAUUUUACGACAAGCUAAGAUGUUCUUUCCCUUUAGUUUACAAUGUCUGUUCUGCCUCUAGUGACUCAGCUGCCUUCUGAUGUUUAUUAAGUCUGCUAAACUCACUCCAAUUUUCACUGUUAUUGAAAUAUGAAAAACUAUGGCCUUGUCAUUAUUAAUUCAUGUUUGCUUGUUGGUAACUUAGACAGGCAAGGGCCUCCAAGUGGCGCAGCGUCUAAAAAUGCUGACCAGACCGCACGCGCGCAUCUGAGUGCACCAUCGCCCGCAUGUUGAUUUUGUCCCCCCACACCAGAGAUCAGGACAGCAGGUUGAUUUUGUCCCCCCACACCAGAGAUCAAAACACGCAGGUUGAUUUUGUCCCCCCACACCAGAGAUCAGAACACG
Molecule: long non-coding RNA, 1407 nt
Filed under: Salmo salar (Atlantic salmon)
Lineage: Eukaryota; Metazoa; Chordata; Actinopteri; Salmoniformes; Salmonidae
Description: lncRNA (ENSSSAG00000084305.1, ENSSSAG00000096360.1)
Source: RNAcentral